RNAcentral lists this ribosomal RNA (161 nucleotides) under uncultured bacterium. RNAcentral describes it as "partial 16S ribosomal RNA". It matches the Rfam family "Bacterial small subunit ribosomal RNA", at positions 615 to 775 of the family's 1533-position model. The record is from RNAcentral.
CCGGAACUGCCUGUGAAUCUGAGGUGCUAGAAGCCUGGAGAGGCGAGUGGAAUUCCGAGUGUAGAGGUGAAAUUCGUAGAUAGUCGGAAGAACACCAGUGGCGAAGGCGACUCGCUGGACAGGUAUUGACGCUGAGGUGCGAAAGCGUGGGGAGCAAACAG